CAGAACAACAUUUAUAUUUCUUGUUGUAGCCUUGCAAUUAACCUCACACUGAUGCACAGACUCACUCUCAGCCUGUGUUCUCCCUCCAGGCCCUCACCCUGGUAACAGUGUUCACCCCAGCGGGCUCUGGGAGGUGUGAUGGUCAUGCUGAAAUGCUCGUCGGUUCUUACACUCAUCCCUAGGUGUUCAUACAGGCUGAAACAGGACGUUAAGAUUCGCUGGCUGCUCAUAAAAGUUACUUCUUUCUGAAGCCACAGUACAUUUUUUUAGAAUGAAGAGCACAGGACGAUUGUAUUCUGUGGUGUUUCCAGAGAUUUCUUUUUUUUACUCUGCUGGAGCUCCUUAAGAUAAAAAUGUGGGUUCUGCCUUCCUCAGAGAUGAGUGUUACACAUGCUUAGCUGGAGGAGCUCAGGCAUGCAGAACAUUUAGGCACACCACCACUCAUUGGAAGGGAAAUGCCUUCCCCUGCUUCGGAGCAUGGAUGUUGAAUAAGUAUCAUUCACUUAAUAUAGUCAGCUUGGGAAUUUGAUGUUUACCAUUAAAAUAAGCAGAAGCAAACCACUAUGUUUAAAAGCAUGAAAAGACUUUAUUGUGACUUACACUGCUUGGUACACACUGUGCAAAGUUUAGUACAGAGGCAGAGCACAGAUGCUUUCAGCCCUAAAUAUUU
This is a long non-coding RNA of Oxyura jamaicensis (ruddy duck), 670 nucleotides long. RefSeq lists it as uncharacterized. The record is from RefSeq and is a predicted model, not a curated record. The transcript has 3 exons. Lineage: Eukaryota; Metazoa; Chordata; Aves; Anseriformes; Anatidae.